Molecule: ribosomal RNA, 492 nt
Filed under: uncultured bacterium
Lineage: Bacteria
Description: partial 16S ribosomal RNA
Rfam family: Bacterial small subunit ribosomal RNA
Source: RNAcentral
AGUGAACGCUGGCGGUAGGCCUAACACAUGCAAGUCGAACGGCAGCACAGUAAGAGCUUGCUCUUACGGGUGGCGAGUGGCGGACGGGUGAGGAAUACAUCGGAAUCUACUUUUUCGUGGGGGAUAACGUAGGGAAACUUACGCUAAGACCGCAUACGACCUACGGGUGAAAGCAGGGGAUCUUCGGACCUUGCGCGAUUGAAUGAGCCGAUGUCGGAUUAGCUAGUUGGCGGGGUAAAGGCCCACCAAGGCGACGAUCCGUAGCUGGUCUGAGAGGAUGAUCAGCCACACUGGAACUGAGACACGGUCCAGACUCCUACGGGAGGCAGCAGUGGGGAAUAUUGGACAAUGGGCGCAAGCCUGAUCCAGCCAUACCGCGUGGGUGAAGAAGACCUUCGGGUUGUAAAGCCCUUUUGUUGGGAAAGAAAAGCAGCAGGUUAAUACCCCGCUGUUCUGACGGUACCCAAAGAAUAAGCACCGGCUAACUUCGUG